UCCUACGGGAGGCAGCAGUGGGGAAUAUUGCACAAUGGGCGCAAGCCUGAUGCAGCAACGCCGCGUGAGGGACGAAGGCCUUCGGGUUGUAAACCUCUUUUAGUAGGGAAGAAGCGACUGGGUUUUCCUGGGAGUGACGGUACCUGCGGAAAAAGCACCGGCUAACUACGUGCCAGCAGCCGCGGUAAUACGUAGGGUGCAAGCGUUGUCCGGAAUUAUUGGGCGUAAAGAGCUCGUAGGCGGUUUGUCGCGUCUGCUGUGAAAACCCGAGGCUCAACCUCGGGCCUGCAGUGGGUACGGGCAGACUAGAGUGCGGUAGGGGAGAUUGGAAUUCCUGGUGUAGCGGUGGAAUGCGCAGAUAUCAGGAGGAACACCAAUGGCGAAGGCAGAUCUCUGGGCCGUAACUGACGCUGAGGAGCGAAAGCAUGGGGAGCGAACAGGAUUAGAUACCCUGGUAGUCCAUGCCGUAAACGUUGGGAACUAGAUGUGGGGACCAUUCCACGGUCUCCGUGUCGCAGCUAACGCAUUAAGUUCCCCGCCUGGGGAGUACGGCCGCAAGGCUAAAACUCAAAGGAAUUGACGGGGGGCCGCACAAGCGGCGGAGCAUGCGGAUUAAUUCGAUGCAACGCGAAGAACCUUACCAAGGCUUGACAUAUACCGGAAACGGCUGGAAACAGUCGCCCCGCAAGGUCGGUAUACAGGUGGUGCAUGGUUGUCGUCAGCUCGUGUCGUGAGAUGUUGGGUUAAGUCCCGCAACGAGCGCAACCCUCGUCCUAUGUUGCCAGCACGUAAUGGUGGGAACUCAUGGGAUACUGCCGGGGUCAACUCGGAGGAAGGUGGGGAUGACGUCAAAUUAUCAUGCCCCUUAUGUCUUGGGCUUCACGCAUGCUACAAUGGCCGGUACAAAGGGCUGCGAUACCGCAAGGUGGAGCGAAUCCCAAAAAGCCGGUCUCAGUUCGGAUUGAGGUCUGCAACUCGACCUCAUGAAGUCGGAGUCGCUAGUAAUCGCAGAUCAGCAACGCUGCGGUGAAUACGUUCCCGGGCCUUGUACGACACCGCC
Molecule: ribosomal RNA, 1060 nt
Filed under: uncultured Cryobacterium sp.
Lineage: Bacteria; Bacillati; Actinomycetota; Actinomycetes; Micrococcales; Microbacteriaceae
Description: bacterial SSU rRNA
Rfam family: Bacterial small subunit ribosomal RNA
Source: RNAcentral